GGCUGUAGCUCAGUGGCACAGCACUUGCCUAGCAUGCGUGAGGCACUGGGUUCGAUCCUCAGCACCA
Molecule: transfer RNA, 67 nt
Filed under: Marmota monax (woodchuck)
Lineage: Eukaryota; Metazoa; Chordata; Mammalia; Rodentia; Sciuridae
Description: tRNA.Ala
Source: RNAcentral